RNAcentral lists this ribosomal RNA (303 nucleotides) under uncultured bacterium. RNAcentral's name for it is "partial 16S ribosomal RNA". It matches the Rfam family "Bacterial small subunit ribosomal RNA", at positions 507 to 807 of the family's 1533-position model. The record is from RNAcentral.
AGCAGUCGCCACGGGAAUACGAGGGGGGCAAGCGUUGUUCGGAAUUAUUGGGCGUAAAGGGUGCGUAGGCGGUUCGACAAGUCUUAUGUGAAAUCUCUGGGCUCAACCCAGAGUCUGCAUGGGAAACUGUCGGGCUUGAGUAUGGGAGAGGUGAGUGGAAUUUCCGGUGUAGCGGUGAAAUGCGUAGAUAUCGGAAGGAACACCUGUGGCGAAAGCGGCUCACUGGACCAUAACUGACGCUGAUGCACGAAAGCUAUGGGAGCAAACAGGAUUAGAUACCCCGGUAGUCCCUGUCUCUUAUAC